Molecule: ribosomal RNA, 414 nt
Filed under: uncultured microorganism
Description: bacterial SSU rRNA
Rfam family: Archaeal small subunit ribosomal RNA
Source: RNAcentral
CAGCCGCCGCGGUAAUACCGGCGGCCCGAGUGGCGGUCACUAUUAUUUGGCUUAAAGCGUCCGUAGCCGGGUUGGGAAGUCCUCCGGGAAAUCUGGCCGCUUAACGGUCAGAAUGCCGGAGGAUACUCCCAGCCUAGGGAGCGGGAGAGGCCGAGGGGAUUCCCGGGGUAGGGGGGAAAUCCUAUAAUCCCGGGAGGACCACCUGUGGCGAAGGCGCUCGGCUGGAACGCGUCCGACGGUGAGGGACGAAGGCCAGGGGAGCAAACCGGAUUAGAUACCCGGGUAGUCCUGGCGGUAAACGAUGCGGACUUUGUGUCGGACAAGCUAUGAGCUUGUCCGGUGCCGGAGGGAAACCGUUAAGUCCGCCGCCUGGGGAGUACGGCCGCAAGGCUGAAACUUAAAGGAAUUGGCGGG